Molecule: long non-coding RNA, 1237 nt
Filed under: Capra hircus (goat)
Lineage: Eukaryota; Metazoa; Chordata; Mammalia; Artiodactyla; Bovidae
Description: lncRNA (ENSCHIG00000000846.1)
Source: RNAcentral
AAGUGAUUACUGCAGCGGACAUAAGAUACUGUAGAUGUCAUGUGUACUCUGUUACACUUAUUUGGAAAGAGCAUCCUAAUCCAGGUUAAGAAAAAAUGAGGGGAAGAGAGAGAAACUACAGAAAUCUACCUCAAAUAGGCACCAUGUGACUUUCCAACCAGUUCUCAUAUGCCCUGACAAGCACUUUUUAAAGGAGUUUGCAUCUUUCUGUACACACUGCCUUAUUUUUCAACUAUACCCUGUGAUUCUUGAACUCCGCUUUUCUUCUUGAAGCUCUUUAAAAGAUUUUCAAGAGGCUUUUAAAUUUCUUUCUUGGAACCUGUGCUCAGCCAAAUCUCUGGGGUCUGGCUCGUGCCUCUGGCUCACCUAUUCCUGCAGCCAUGUCUUUCCAGCAGCAGCAGUGCCUGCCCCAGAUGACAAGCAGCCCUGUCAGCCACCCCCUGUCAAAUGUCAAGAGGCGUGUGCACCUAAAACCAAGGAUCCAUGUGCUCCCCAGGCCAAGAAGCAAUGCCCAGCCAAGGACACAGCAAUCCCAGCCCAGCAGAAGUGUCCUGCAACCAGCAAGCCCCCUAGAGUAAAUAGAAGUAAGAAUGGACGGAGAGAUACCUGCCCGCCAACCAGGCUACCAGAUGCAGCCUUCUCUUUCUCCUGCUCCUUUUCUGAUCCUCAGCUCCGGGAUUUGCCCUCCUCUCCCAUCUUCUCCUACUCAGGGUCCAAGGAAACAUUGUCAGGAUUUCUUCCCAUGGAACUCCUUGUCUCAUACAUCCCCUUGCUCCCAGUAUAUUCUUCUGUUCCCAACUCUGACUCUCUCCUAGAUGAACAUGAGUGAGGUCCCACCUUCUCCAGCUUCCAGUUUGGCCACAGCUGUGGCCCCAUCCAUGUCCUAAAGCAAGAAAUAUAUCUGGGCUGAUUCUAGGGCUUCCACCUUGACUCACGGGGACACCAGAGGCUGAUGCAUAGCUUCUAUAUCAUUCCCUUUCCCAAUUCCCCAUCCGUGAGCUUCCCUCCUCUUUCUUCCACUAAUAAAUCUGUGCUUCAUAUUAAAAAGAAUUAUCUCUCCUAGCAAUAUUUUGUAGUUCAUUUUUAUUUCAGAUCUUACCCCUAUACUUUGUUAAAUAUACUUAUUCUAUGGUUUUAUAUUUAAAAUUUUAAUUUUCAAGUUUUUGAUUAAUAUACAGAAACAUGAUUGUUUUGUAUAUACUUUAUAAUUUUGAACUUCUUUAAAUUCAAUUCACAU